RNAcentral lists this non-coding RNA (28 nucleotides) under Drosophila melanogaster (fruit fly). The record is from RNAcentral. Lineage: Eukaryota; Metazoa; Arthropoda; Insecta; Diptera; Drosophilidae.
UUCUAUUUGACAUAAAAGAGUUGACAUU